UGAAUCCGCGCGGGAGAGUCCCCAGCAGCAGUUUUCGCCGGGGCGCCGAAGGAGCAAGUCCCUCCCUUGAAUCUCUCAGGCCCCGUUACCGCGCGGGCGAG
RNAcentral lists this non-coding RNA (101 nucleotides) under Streptomyces griseoruber. RNAcentral describes it as "Glycine sequence". It matches the Rfam family "Glycine riboswitch aptamer". Rfam says of the family: This family represents the bacterial glycine riboswitch. The record is from RNAcentral. Lineage: Bacteria; Bacillati; Actinomycetota; Actinomycetes; Kitasatosporales; Streptomycetaceae.